AACGAACGCUGGCGGCAUGCCUAACACAUGCAAGUCGAACGAUUGCCUUCGGGUGAUAGUGGCGCACGGGUGCGUAACGCGUGGGAAUCUGCCCUUAGGUUCGGAAUAACAGCUGGAAACGGCUGCUAAUACCGGAUGAUAUCGCGAGAUCAAAGAUUUAUCGCCUGAGGAUGAGCCCGCGUUGGAUUAGGUAGUUGGUGGGGUAAAGGCCUACCAAGCCGACGAUCCAUAGCUGGUCUGAGAGGAUGAUCAGCCACACUGGGACUGAGACACGGCCCAGACUCUUACGGGAGGGAGCAGUGGGGAAUAUUGGAAAAUGGGGGCAAGCCUGAUCCAGCAAUGCCGGGUGAGUGAUGAAGGCCCGAGGGUUGUAAAGCUCUUUUACCCGGGAAGAUAAUGACUGUACCGGGAGAAUAAGCCCCGGCUAACUCCGUG
This 435-nucleotide ribosomal RNA is filed under the name uncultured bacterium. RNAcentral describes it as "partial 16S ribosomal RNA". It matches the Rfam family "Bacterial small subunit ribosomal RNA", at positions 29 to 507 of the family's 1533-position model. The record is from RNAcentral.